This 5746-nucleotide long non-coding RNA is filed under the name Sarcophilus harrisii (Tasmanian devil). Its description in RNAcentral is "lncRNA (ENSSHAG00000028068.1)". The record is from RNAcentral. Lineage: Eukaryota; Metazoa; Chordata; Mammalia; Dasyuromorphia; Dasyuridae.
GAGAAAGGCAGGCUGGGUCCGCCUGGCAGCCUACCGGAGAAGGCGGGUAGCAAGCCGGAGCAAAAGGAGAGAGAAGAGCUGCUGGCCGAGGGGAGGGGAGAAUGGACAGGAAGGACUGGAGGAGGAGAAAAGAAGGGAGCCCUGGCAGCCUCUGGCCGGGGCGUCCUCGGCCCCUUCUUUGAACCCCGCAGUGCUUACAGCCUGGUUUCUUCCUUGUGUCCCAGCUCCAGAUGAAGAAGGGACAGAGCAUCUGAGAGCAUCUGCAGCCUGGGCAGGGCAAGUCCUCUGGCGUGAGAUUUCUGCAGGGAGAAUGCGUCCCGACUUGGCAGAAUUUAAUCUGAAGAACUCCUGUUGGCUCAACUUACCCCAGAAUUUGAAGUUUGAUUGCAAAUAAAAGCAGAUCAUUGAGUAAUGGAAGUGAACAACAUCUGAAACCACAUUCUGACCAUUAUUUGCAUACACGAUAAUCAACACAGCACUGGAAUUACUGUGUGUGAAGGCCUUUCCAUUUGCCUCCUUUUUUGUACUUUUGAUCCUUGUGAAUGAAUUCCAUCAUAUCAUAUACAAAGACCACUAAAAUAAGUACUAUGAACAUUAGUAAAUUAAGUUAAAAGAGCUUACAAAGUAAUGAAGAAAAGUACAAUAUGUAUUGGAUAUGUGCCAGUAGCUAAAGUCCAACAUGCAAAUUUUUACAGCAAAUUACUUAAAAUGACCUCAAAUACAAAAGACUAAAGAACCAUGGAGCAUUACCUUGACUGCUUCUCAGAUGCUUGCUGAUGUGUGUUCAAAGCUCCUGUGAAGAAAGCCCAGUUGAAUUGAAGGAUCACUAUAAGUACAAGUAAUCUGUCAAUUGACUCUUGGUUAACCACCAGUAGUCACAAUUGUAUCUGAAUAUCUAUGUACUCUCAUAUAUGCUCAUCCACAGAAAUGCACAAAUGAAAACAAACCAAACAUAUAUUCUUUUUAUUCUGUUCAUAUGUAAUAAGUCAUUUGAUAACCAUUUUUUAGCUGUUUACUAUGUAUCUGGCACUGUAAUACAUUUAGAUAGACAAAAACAAAAAUCACAUGAGCUCUUGUCCUCAAGGAGAUUACAUUAUAUCUAGCAAUAAAUGUAAAUUUAUUAUAUAUAUAUAUAUAUUAUAUUUAUAUAAUUAUAUAUUAUUUAUAUAUAAAGGAAUGGAUAAUAUUGAAAAAGAUGCUCAGCAUAAUUGCAAAAAAGGCAUGAGUUCAUGUCCAAGUUUUAUUAUUAAGAAGUUAUAUGACUUUUAACAAGUCCCUGGAUUUCAGUUCCAUCAUAUAUGAAAUAUUGGAGUUUAACUAGAUAAUUUCCCAUCUAAAAUUUAGUAAUUUUUAUGAUAGUUAGAAUAAAUAGUUCUAUUUUUCCAUGAAAAUUUUAAAGAAAGUAAAUCUCCUAUAUAAUCCUGAAGACAAGAAGAAACAAAAAUUUGAUAUGUCAGUGGUCACUCUUCAGUCAAACAGAAUGGUCCUGAAGAGCUUAAGGGAUGCUGCUGAAAGGACUCUAUAUCUAAAAAUAAGCAUAAGUUAUUAAUGACAUGUACUUGGGCCAUUUCUUUGGGUUAUGAUAUUCUACUCUAAAAGUGUCUAUUAUGGUGUAGCUUGCUUGUAAAAUGCUAAGUUAAUAUUGGCCAAUCAAUUCUUAUUUUUAAUUGCUUAACAACCAGCAAGUCUUGAGAUAAUGGAACACAUAUUUAGAUGAGGGGAAAGGAAGAUAGAACUAGAGCAGAGAGAACAUGUUUAAAAAGAAAGUUCUAUAUAGCUAGGUAUGGUCCACAUAGGGCAGCUAGAGGGAAUAAGCUAGAUCAAAUAACAGUGGAUGCAUCUUUGGGAGUGGGAGGAAGGUAAAAAGGAACAAAAAGGGGAGGCAGAAAACAAACUUUGUUUUUGGAAUACAUGUUCUGGAACUCAUUUCUAUUUUCAGAUCAGUAUGCAAGGGAGGCUGUGUUGGCAAAUAUUUAAACAAUUUUUGGUCUAGUGGGAGGGUGUGUUGAGUAGUGGGAGACUUGAGUGUUUGGCUUGGAGUCAGGAAGACCUGCAUUCCAUCCUGCCUUAGCCACUUGUUUAGUGAUUCUAAGCAAGUUCCUACCUUUUCUGAUCUGUAUUUUAUUCAUCUGUAGAAUAACCAAAGUCCCUUAUAGGUCUACAUUUAUGAUCCUAUGACAAGGAUUCAGAAAGAAAAAUAGUAGAAUCUGAUUAUUUGUGGACAAUAGGCACUUAACUGAUGAAUUGAACUUACAAAAGGAUAUAAAGUUCAAAGCACCCAAACCAGUUGUGAUACUUACUAUCCAAGGCCAGUUUUGUAACUGGCCUCUAAAUCUCUAUCUCUCUCUCUCUCUCUCUCUCUCUCUCUCUCUCUCUUUCUCUGUCUUUCGGUAAAAUGGGAAUGAUACUUAAACAAUCUCACAAGUUUGUGAGGAAAUACUCAAAUUCAAAUGAUCUGUGAUGUCAUUAAUAUGAAUGUUUCCUCCAACAAUGGAGAUGGAAACAUAUUUAUGCCUAUUCAUCCUGUGCAGCUCUUAUAUACAUACCACCAUAGAUUCAUCCCAAGCGGUCCACCUACAGUAGUGGAGGCCUCUGUUGCUUUCUCUAGAAAAUUCAACGAUACCUGUGGGAGUCUCAUGUACUUUCAUUGGUUAUUAUUCAUUUUCUACAAAUGACCAAGGUAUAUUGGUCAUAUAUUUCAUUUAUGCAUAAUUUGCUCCAUCUCUUCUUUAUAAUUCUUAUGGUUUGUGUGCUUUUGCUUGUUCACAACAAAGAUCUACAUGGAGUUGUCAUAACAGCUUAUGUAAUAAUAGCUAAAUAAUCACUAUUACAUAGUACAUAACAUCUAAUUCUUGACAAAAUAACUAACUUUUUCUUCAAUUGUAACAUAAUAUUGAUAAAAAAGAACUUUUAAAAAAAUGUGGUCCCUUGGUGGUUGAAAUAGUUAUCAAAACUCUUGAGAUUAUUUAUAUUUUAAAAUUCUUCACUCCUCCAUUUAACUCCUCCACCCCUCUACAGCCUUUAUUAAGGAAAAUCAAUCUUAUAGAUAUUAAUAUCUAUAUCUAUCUAUAAAUAUGUAGUUUGUAUAUAAUGACUGCUUAAUAAAUGCUUGUUUUUAUAAUCAACACUAGCUACAAUUUCACCUCUAAAGGAAGCCUUCCUUGAUCCUCCUAGUUAGUGUUUUUUCCCUCUUUAAAUUAUUUUGUAAAUAUUUAUUUCUCAGUUGUAUUUCUCUCUCUAGUAUAUUAGAAUUUUUUUGAGGUGGAGAAACAGUCUUUUUUCUGUAUUUCCCUAAGACAAUGUCUUUUACUUUAUAAGUAAGUAAUAAAUGUGUGUUAUAUAGAAAGAUCUCAUAUUGAUAGGAUUUUAUGAUUAUUUUUUAAAAAGAGGAAAAACUGAGCCAUCCAUUGUUAACACUGGAUUUUCAGUAAUUAUUUUUCUUUCUGAAAGAGAAAUGAAAAGAUGUAAAAGAUUGGGUUGAAAGGAAUAAAAAGGAAAUUAAAAUUCCAAAUACAAUAUCUACAUAAUAUUCCCAUAUUUAUUGUUCAUUAACAUAUUGUGUAAAUUGAUACUAUUAUAACUGAAACUUUACAUAAUUAUAUUAAAAUUAAUGUAUUUGUAGUCCAUAUGGUAAUACUGUUUAACAUUCGGUUUUUACAUUUUAUUUGAAACUAUUUAUAAGUAAGGGUAAACUUCAGGGUCUCUCAGGUUGCUGAAAAAGAGAAAAAUACAGAAAAAUAUACAUUCAUGGCUUUUCAUUUUGGAAAUUAAUGUUUAAAUGCAUUUAAAAAUACUUUUGAAUUAUAAUGUGCCAGAAAAUCCUUUAUUCAUUUUGAAAAUUGUCUAUUAAAUAUUAUUUUAUUCACACUUAUCUUUUACCUACCAUUUACUUUAAUGAUGAGGCUCCUAUAUUUCUUUUGCAAAGCUAUUCACUACUGAACUGCAUUAAGCCAUGGUAAAGAGAAUAACUGGGGGGUCAAAAUCUUCCCUAUUGACAAAGACAGUGGUAGACAAGCUGUCAAAAUAUGUUUAAUAAAAUCCCCUAAAGUAAACAUUUGUGAGAGAUCCAGUUAGAAGCUAUAACAGCUUGAAGUAUGUUCAUUAUAAACUCACAAAUGCAUGAAUGUCUUAUAAGAAGUGAUGUUCGACUAUGCUCAAAAAGCUAUCAAACUGUGCAUACCCUUUGACCCAGCAGUGUUACCACUGGGCAUAUAUCGCAAAGAGAUUUUAAAGAAGGGGAAGGGACCUGUAUAUGCAAGAAUGUUUGUGGCAGCCCUCUUUGUGGUGGCCAGAAACUGGUAACUGAGUGGAUGCCCAUCAAUUGGAGAAUGGUUGGGUAAAUUGUGGUAUAUGAAUAUUAUGGAAUAUUAUUGUUCAGUAAGAAAUGACUAGCAGGGUAAUUUCAGAAAGGCCUGGAGAGACUUACAUCUACUGAUGCUGAGUGAAAUUAGCAGGACCAGAAGAUCAUUAUAUACUUCAACAACAAUACUGUAUGAUGAUCAAUUCUGAUGGUCGUGGCCCUCUUCAACAAUGAGAUGAAACAAAUCAGUUCCAGUAGAACAGUAAUGAAUUGAAUCAGCUACAUCCAGCAAAAGAACUCUGGGAAAUGAAUGUGAACCACCACAUAGAAUUCCCAAUCCCUCUAUUUUUGUCCACCUACAUUUUUUGAUUUCCUUCACAGGUUAAUUGUACACUAUUUCAAAGACCGAUUCUUCUUGUGCAGCAAAAUAACUGUAUUGACAUGUAUACAUAUAUUGUAUUUAACAUACACUUUAACAUAUUUAGCAUGUAUUGUUCUACCUGCCAUCUGGGGGAGGGGUGGGGAAAAGGAGGGGGAAAAUUGAAACAAAAUGUUUUGCAACUGUCAAUGCUGAAAAAUUGCCCAUGCAUAUAUCUUGUAAAUAAAAAGCUAUACUAAUAAAAAAAAAAGAAAAAAAAAAAAAGAAGUGAUGUUCCAGUAGGCUUUAGACAAAUUUUAGGUAAAAUUGUGAAAGAUAGGAAGUUUAUUUUUAUGCCCCCUUCAUUGUUUCUUCACUUCCCCUUUUCAGAUAUCCAGUAUCUUCAUAUGCUUCCUCUACCUACACAUCAAAGCCUCUGGAAAUGAACCAUUAAUAUGAACCUUUGGAUUAUCUGUUGGAUCAUCUGGAUUAUUCAUUCUUUGUAGACUUUGACAUUUGACAUAUAUGGAAUAUAGUAUCAUCAGGCCUGGAGAGACUUACACGAACUGAUGCUGAAUGAAAUGAGCAGGACCAGGAGAUCAUUAUAUACUUCAACAACAAUACUAUAUGAUGACCAGUUCUGAUGGACCUGGCCAUCCUCAGCAAUGAGAUCAACCAAAUCAUUUCCAAUGGAGCAGUAAUGAACUGAACCAGCUAUGCCCAGAGAAAGAACUCUGGGAGAUGACUAAAAACUAUUAUUACAUUGAAUUCCCAAUCCCUAUAUUUAUGCCCACCUGCAUUUUUGAUUUUCUUCACAAGCUAAUUGUACAAUAUUUCAGAGUCUGAUUCUUUUUGUACAGCAAAAUAACGUUUUGGUCAUGUAUACUUAUUAUGUAUCUAAUUUAUAUUUUAAUAUAUUUAACAUCUACUGGUCAUCCUGCCAUCUGGGGGAGGGAGUGGGGGGUAAGAGGUGAAAAACUGGAACAAGAUGUUUGGCAAUUGUUAAUGCUGUAAAGUUACCCAUAUAUAUAACCUGUAAAUAAAAGGCUAUUAAAUUUUUAAAAAAUGCUUUUCAAGGCAUACUAUAC